Molecule: ribosomal RNA, 245 nt
Filed under: uncultured bacterium
Lineage: Bacteria
Also listed under: 1 other name
Description: partial 16S ribosomal RNA
Rfam family: Bacterial small subunit ribosomal RNA
Source: RNAcentral
UACGGAGGGUGCAAGCGUUAAUCGGAAUUACUGGGCGUAAAGCGCACGCAGGCGGUUGGAUAAGUUAGAUGUGAAAGCCCCGGGCUCAACCUGGGAAUUGCAUUUAAAACUGUCCAGCUAGAGUCUUGUAGAGGGGGGUAGAAUUCCAGGUGUAGCGGUGAAAUGCGUAGAGAUCUGGAGGAAUACCGGUGGCGAAGGCGGCCCCCUGGACAAAGACUGACGCUCAGGUGCGAAAGCGUGGGGAG